This 459-nucleotide ribosomal RNA is filed under the name uncultured bacterium. RNAcentral describes it as "partial 16S ribosomal RNA". It matches the Rfam family "Bacterial small subunit ribosomal RNA", at positions 338 to 795 of the family's 1533-position model. The record is from RNAcentral.
CCUACGGGUGGCAGCAGUGAGGAAUAUUGGUCAAUGGGCGGGAGCCUGAACCAGCCAAGCCGCGUGAGGGAAGAAGGUACAGCGUAUCGUAAACCUCUGUUGUCAGGGAACAAAGGCGGGGACUAGUCCCCGGAUGAGGGUACCUGAAGAAAAAGCAUCGGCAAACUCCGUGCCAGCAGACGCGGUAAUACGGAGGAUGCGAGCGUUAUCGGGAUUUAUUGGGGUGAAAGGGUGCGAAGGCGGCCUGUUAAGUCAGCGGUAAAAGCCCGGGGCCCAACCCCGGCGAGCCGAUGAAACUGGCGGGCUGGAGCUAGAGAGAAGGACGCGGAAUGCGCGGUGUAGCAGUGAAAUGCGUAGAUAUCGCGCAGAACCCCGGUGGCGAAGGCAGCGUACCGGCUCCACACUGACGCUGAGGCACGAAAGCGUGGGUAGCGAACAGGAUUAGAUACCCGGGUAGUC